AGAUGGCGACCGGCGCACGGGUGAGUAACACGUAUCCAACCUGCCGAUAACUCGGGGAUAGCCUUUCGAAAGAAAGAUUAAUACCCGAUGGCAUAAUAGAACCGCAUGGUGGAACUAUUAAAGAAUUUCGGUCAUCGAUGGGGAUGCGUUCCAUUAGGUUGUUGGCGGGGUAACGGCCCACCAAGCCUUCGAUGGAUAGGGGUUCUGAGAGGAAGGUCCCCCACAUUGGAACUGAGACACGGUCCAAACUCCUACGGGAGGCAGCAUG
RNAcentral lists this ribosomal RNA (268 nucleotides) under uncultured bacterium. RNAcentral describes it as "partial 16S ribosomal RNA". It matches the Rfam family "Bacterial small subunit ribosomal RNA", at positions 86 to 353 of the family's 1533-position model. The record is from RNAcentral.